GACGGAGGGUGCGAGCGUUAUUCGGAAUCAUUGGGCGUAAAGAGCGUGUAGGCGGCCGGUUAAGUCAGGUGUGAAAGCUCGGGGCUCAACCUCGGAAGUGCACUUGAAACUGGUCGGCUUGAGUUCGGGAGAGGGUAGCGGAAUUCCUGGUGUAGAGGUGAAAUUCGUAGAUAUCAGGAGGAACAUCGGUGGCGAAGGCGGCUACCUGGACCGAAACUGACGCUGAGACGCGAAAGCGUGGGGAGCAAACAGG
Molecule: ribosomal RNA, 253 nt
Filed under: uncultured bacterium
Lineage: Bacteria
Description: partial 16S ribosomal RNA
Rfam family: Bacterial small subunit ribosomal RNA
Source: RNAcentral